GCCAGGGUUAAAGGAACAGUGUGGUGGAAGCAGUGCUGGUGGCACAGGUAAUUGAGCGUGAUGGGAGUGAAAUCUAAUGGUUGCAGUGAUGCUGAGCCUAUGAGGGUAAUGAAAGGUUACGGAUAUGGCUGAAGGAGUUCAAAUUAAUGGUGAAAAAUGAUAACUGUAAGUGCCUCAAUGAUUUGGCUAAAUUAUGCCUUGCAGUUCCCUAAAUUAUAAAUAUAUGUGGUUGUCAAGUCAUUUGUGUCUCAGUAAAACAUAUAAUCAUUUAAAACACACAUAAUUCAAAUACUGUAUUUCUUUGAGAGGGCUCAUUUUCUUGUUGAGUCAUUCGCCCUCUAGGUGGGGACUGUAAGAAAUUGAUAUUCCAAACUGCAAUAUUGUAUAUAACUUUCUGUGUAUGUGACUGGUUUCACAAGUUGGGGUCAUUUCCUUGAUAACAGUGGGAUAAGGAUCAAAGCUUUCAGUUGCAUUUUACAACACCCAGCUAAAACAAAAGCUUACAUCCCUCCAGUAUUC
Pelobates cultripes (western spadefoot toad) is the source of this 519-nucleotide non-coding RNA. NCBI's taxonomy places the organism in Eukaryota, Metazoa, Chordata, Amphibia, Anura, Pelobatidae. The record is from the annotation of a GenBank genome assembly.